RNAcentral lists this ribosomal RNA (430 nucleotides) under uncultured soil bacterium. RNAcentral's name for it is "bacterial SSU rRNA". It matches the Rfam family "Bacterial small subunit ribosomal RNA", at positions 26 to 484 of the family's 1533-position model. The record is from RNAcentral.
AGGACGAACGCUGGCGGCGUGCCUAAUGCAUGCAAGUCGCACGCACCGAGCUUGCUCGGUGAGUGGCGCACGGCUGAGGAUCACGUGGGAACAUGCCUCCUUGUGGGGGGACAACCCCGCGAAAGCGGGGCUAAUCCCGCAUACGCUCGGCAACGAGGAAAGCGGCAACGCGCAGGGAGAGUGGCCCGCGGCCCAUCAGGUUGUUGGAGGGGUAAUGGCCUACCAAGCCGGUGACGGGUAGCUGGUCUGUGAGGACAGACAGCCAGACUGGGACUGAGACACGGCCCAGACUCCUACGGGAGGCAGCAGCAAGGAAUUUCGCAAUGGGCGCAAGCCUAGAACGAGCAACGCCGCGUGGAGGAUGACGGUCCUUCGGGUUAGUAAACUUCCGUUUUUCGGGGGAACGUAGUAAGUGGACGGUAACCCCGGG